RNAcentral lists this ribosomal RNA (497 nucleotides) under uncultured bacterium. RNAcentral describes it as "partial 16S ribosomal RNA". It matches the Rfam family "Bacterial small subunit ribosomal RNA", at positions 28 to 507 of the family's 1533-position model. The record is from RNAcentral.
GAUGAACGCUGGCGGCGUGCCUAAUACAUGCAAGUCGAGCGAACAGACGAGGAGCUUGCUCCUCUGACGUUAGCGGCGGACGGGUGAGUAACACGUGGAUAAUCUACCUAUAAGACUGGGAUAACUUCGGGAAACCGGAGCUAAUGCCGGAUAAUAUAUUGAACCGCAUGGUUCAAUAGUGAAAGACGGUUUUGCUGUCACUUAUAGAUGGAUCCGCGCCGCAUUAGCUAGUUGGUAAGGUAACGGCUUACCAAGGCAACGAUGCGUAGCCGACCUGAGAGGGUGAUCGGCCACACUGGAACUGAGACACGGUCCAGACUCCUACGGGAGGCAGCAGUAGGGAAUCUUCCGCAAUGGGCGAAAGCUUGACGGAGCAACGCCGCGUGAGUGAUGAAGGUCUUCGGAUCGUAAAACUCUGUUAUUAGGGAAGAACAAAUGUGUAAGUAACUAUGCACGUCUUGACGGUACCUAAUCAGAAAGCCACGGCUAACUACGUG